GGGCGUAAGAGCUCGUAGGCGGUUUGUCGCGUCUGCUGUGAAAUCCCGAGGCUCAACCUCGGGCCUGCAGUGGGUACGGGCAGACUAGAGUGCGGUAGGGGAGAUUGGAAUUCCUGGUGUAGCGGUGGAAUGCGCAGAUAUCAGGAGGAACACCGAUGGCGAAGGCAGAUCUCUGGGCCGUAACUGACGCUGAGGAGCGAAAGGGUGGGGAGCAAACAGCUUAGAUACCCUGGUAGUCCACCCCGUAAACGUUGGGAACUAGUUGUGGGGACCAUUCCACGGUUUCCGUGACGCAGCUAACGCAUUAAGUUCCCCGCCUGGGGAGUACGGCCGCAAGGCUAAAACUCAAAGGAAUUGACGGGGACCCGCACAAGCGGCGGAGCAUGCGGAUUAAUUCGAUGCAACGCGAAAAACCUUACCAAGGCUUGACAUACACCAGAACGGGCCAGAAAUGGUCAACUCUUUGGACACUGGUGAACAGGUGGUGCAUGGUUGUCGUCAGCUCGUGUCGUGAGAUGUUGGGUUAAGUCCCGCAACGAGCGCAACCCUCGUUCUAUGUUGCCAGCACGUAAUGGUGGGAACUCAUGGGAUACUGCCGGGGUCAACUCGGAGGAAGGUGGGGAUGACGUCAAAUCAUCAUGCCCCUUAUGUCUUGGGCUUCACGCAUGCUACAAUGGCCGGUACAAAGGGCUGCAAUACCGUGAGGUGGAGCGAAUCCCAAAAAGCCGGUCCCAGUUCGGAUUGAGGUCUGCAACUCGACCUCAUGAAGUCGGAGUCGCUAGUAAUCGCAGAUCAGCAACGCUGCGGUGAAUACGUUCCCGGGUCUUGUACACACCGCCCGUCAAGUCAUGAAAGUCGGUAACACCUGAAGCCGGUGGCCCAACCCUUGUGGAGGGAGCCGUCGAAGGUGGGAUCGGUAAUUAGGACUAAGUCGUAACAAGGUAGCCGUACCGGAAGGUGCGGCUGGAACACCUCCUUCUAGACUGCAGAAA
Molecule: ribosomal RNA, 992 nt
Filed under: Microbacterium testaceum
Lineage: Bacteria; Bacillati; Actinomycetota; Actinomycetes; Micrococcales; Microbacteriaceae
Description: bacterial SSU rRNA
Rfam family: Bacterial small subunit ribosomal RNA
Source: RNAcentral